GUCCUUCCAGCCCCAGCUGGAGGAUGAAGUGAUCUGUCCUGGUCUUAAAAGAGGAAACCGUGUUGGAGAGCCUCUGAGUUGGAUGUAGAAAAAAAGGCAGAGAAGAAGUGAAGAUGAAAGUGAAGAUACAGCAGUGGUGAGGUUCCUGCAGGACUUAUCACAGGAGAGGAGAGGUGGUGGCUCCCUGGGAAGGCAGGCACAGAGCACACAGGACCAGCAGGCAAAAAGGCUGCAGGUGAAGUGGAGCAUCAACAGACGUCCUGUUUGGACAAGACCUGUUCACCCGACCCAGCAAAGCUCAGCUGCAUGUUUAGGAUGGAUCCAUGCUGGUAAUUGCCUAUUAAUGAUCAUCGCCCAAAACAUCUUUGCUUCUGGAAA
Molecule: long non-coding RNA, 378 nt
Organism: Strigops habroptila (Kakapo)
Lineage: Eukaryota; Metazoa; Chordata; Aves; Psittaciformes; Psittacidae
Exons: 3
Source: RefSeq, a predicted model, not a curated record